This 253-nucleotide ribosomal RNA is filed under the name uncultured bacterium. Its description in RNAcentral is "partial 16S ribosomal RNA". It matches the Rfam family "Bacterial small subunit ribosomal RNA", at positions 524 to 776 of the family's 1533-position model. The record is from RNAcentral.
UACGUAGGGUGCGAGCGUUAAUCGGAAUUACUGGGCGUAAAGCGUGCGCAGGCGGUUUUGUAAGCCAGAUGUGAAAGCCCCGGGCUUAACCUGGGAACUGCGUUUGAAACUGGGAGACUUGAGUGUGGCAGAGGGGGGUGGAAUUCCACGUGUAGCAGUGAAAUGCGUAGAUAUGUGGAGGAACACCAAUGGCGAAGGCAGCCCCCUGGGUCAACACUGACGCUCAUGCACGAAAGCGUGGGGAGCAAACAGG